AGUAGGUAGAGGAAGUGACAUCAUCACAUGACGCAUGACCAACCUCCUCUGAUCUGACUCAGCAGAGCUCUAAUAUCUAUGUAGAAAUCUUCACCCACACAAGUACCACACCCCUUGGUUGGCAGAAAGCUACAUCGAAGGAAUGGAGACAUAGGGGAAAAUUCCAAAAAUAAGAAGGAAAGAAGUUGCUUAUAGUAGCAAAGAGGCUCCUCACUGAUUCAUAGCAAAAGUAGCAGCUCUAACUUCAAGCAUAGAUGUAAAAACAACUGUGCAUUUGCUUUUUUAUGCUUUCUACUAUUUGUUUGUACUGCAUUCUGCCAACCAGGGGAGUGGCUUUAGUCAGGCUCCACCUUAGCUAAUGUAGCUUCGGGCCUUUGAUCUGAAGGUGAGAGGUAACGCGCUGGUUAUAUUGUAUAAAAGUUCAAAGCAUUAUAGGAUGGAAUUUGGGGUAGCCAUUUUUAAUGUUUUUAUUUACUUGCGUAAUAGAUUUUUGCAUGAUGAUAACAAUUAAUUUAUUUGUACUUUAAAAUUAACACGAGACACCGUUGGUGCAUAGGCCUCGCCAAAACAAAGAUAAUCAUAAUUUGUUUUACACAUACGAUUUUAAAACUAUAUUUUGUCCUGCAUAUUACCACUGAAUUAAAAGUAACUUGCUUAGAUAGUGUUCACUGUUAGCUAUAGUUUUGAUUGAAUUCUUCAUAGUCUAAUUAAAAUUUGAGGGUGUUUGGGUGUGGCUGCAAACUGACAGCAUGUUGGCUUUGGCGGAUUAUGCCAGCACAAUUUUGAGCAUAAUAGAGCCCAAAAGCAUGAGCAUAAUGUGAGCAUAAUAGGGCUAUGAUAGAAAAUUUUGAAAAAAUUUAUUGAGAAUUGCAAUAAAAAGGCCCUUGCACUCAAUAAAUUAACUGUUUUUAAACAGCUACUAUUGCUCACAAUACUCAAGGACUUAUAAUGAAAUUCAUGGGCAUAAUUGGGAGCAUAAUGGCUGGUUGAUAGAGCAUAAGCUGUUUCCUGAGAAUUGCAGCAUAGCAUAAUAGAGCAAUUUUAGAGCAUAAUCCGCCAAACCCUAACAGCAUGGCAGUUGUUACAGUACAGAGAAAGUGUCAAAUCUUGAUUGCUAGAGAGUAAAAUGGUGUCAUUUAUCUUCUUGAUUAUUGUAGGCUGAUUCGGGUGAUGUUAGGCUUGAAACAGCUGAGAGUCAGAUAAAAUUACAGAAGACCAAACAUGAACUGGAAACUGCUGCCUUGGAGGAGACCAUUAAAGAAAAGGACUGCGAAAUCUGUGUAUUACAAGAGAAAUUCGAAACUUUAGAAAGAGAACUAGACAAAAGCAAACAUGAACUAUUGCUACUCAAAGAAGACAAAAAACAACUGCAAGACGAUCUCAAGGAAGCUAAUAAGAAAAUCGAAGAAAAUACUCAAAUCUUUUACCAUUUGCAUGAUUUAAUUCAUAAAAUUUCUAGCAAAAAAA
Long non-coding RNA from Amphimedon queenslandica, 1467 nucleotides. RefSeq lists it as uncharacterized. The record is from RefSeq and is a predicted model, not a curated record. The transcript is spliced from 4 exons. Lineage: Eukaryota; Metazoa; Porifera; Demospongiae; Haplosclerida; Niphatidae.